CGUCUAUAUACGUAUAGCAUAUCAAUAAGCGGAGGAAAAGAAACUAACAAGGAUUCCCUUAGUAACGGCGAGUGAAGCGGGAAGAGCUCAAAUUUGAAAUCUUCAAGGUUUUACCUUGACGAAUUGUAGUUUAAAGAAGUGUUUUCUGUUGAAGUUUUGGUAAAAGUUCUUUGGAAUAGGACAUCAUAGAGGGUGAGAAUCCCGUAUUUGACCAUUAUUUUCAGCUGUGUGAUACACUUUCAAAGAGUCGGAUUGUUUGGGAAUGCAGUCCAAAAUGGGUGGCUAAAUUUCAUCUAAAGCUAAAUAUUGGCGAGAGACCGAUAGCGAACAAGUACCGUGAGGGAAAGAUGAAAAGAACUUUGAAAAGAGAGUUAAACAGUACGUGAAAUUGUCGAAAGGGAAGCGUUUGACACCAGUGUUGUUUUCUCGAAAAUCAAUUAAAAAGAGUUGGAUUUUGUGUUGUAUUGACCUUAACAGCUUGCUUCACUUUUUUCCUGCUUUUUUUAAUGCACUUUUCGUUUAACAAGUCAACAUCAGUUUCUUUUGUUGUAAAAGGGUCAUUGGAAGGUGGCUUUCUUUUCGGAGAAAGUGUUUAUAGCCUUUGGCCUCUGCAAUCGGAGAGACUGAGGUCUGCAGCGUAGAUCCUUCGGGGUUAGAUACAUUUGUGCUAAGUUAUAGCUUUUCAUAGACAACUUGUUGACUAUGUUUAGUCAUGUAGCUUACUCGCUUAUGCUAUUUUACCUACGCUUAGGAUGUUGACGCGCGUGUGUGCGUG
RNAcentral lists this ribosomal RNA (775 nucleotides) under uncultured Neocallimastigales. RNAcentral's name for it is "partial large subunit ribosomal RNA". It matches the Rfam family "Eukaryotic large subunit ribosomal RNA", at positions 26 to 639 of the family's 3401-position model. Lineage: Eukaryota; Fungi; Neocallimastigomycota; Neocallimastigomycetes; Neocallimastigales. The record is from RNAcentral.